This 253-nucleotide ribosomal RNA is filed under the name uncultured bacterium. Its description in RNAcentral is "partial 16S ribosomal RNA". It matches the Rfam family "Bacterial small subunit ribosomal RNA", at positions 524 to 776 of the family's 1533-position model. The record is from RNAcentral.
UACGUAGGGGGCAAGCGUUGUCCGGAUUUACUGGGCGUAAAGAGCGUGUAGGCGGCCAAGCAGGUCCGCUGUGAAAACUCGAGGCUCAACCUCGAGACGUCGGUGGAAACCGUUUGGCUAGAGUCCGGAAGAGGAGAGUGGAAUUCCCGGUGUAGCGGUGAAAUGCGCAGAUAUCGGGAAGAACACCCGUGGCGAAGGCGGCUCUCUGGGACGGUACUGACGCUGAGACGCGAAAGCGUGGGGAGCGAACAGG